Molecule: ribosomal RNA, 506 nt
Filed under: uncultured bacterium
Lineage: Bacteria
Description: partial 16S ribosomal RNA
Rfam family: Bacterial small subunit ribosomal RNA
Source: RNAcentral
AUUGAACGCUGGCGGCAGGCCUAACACAUGCAAGUCGAGCGGCAGCGGAAAGUAGCUUGCUACUUUGCCGGCGAGCGGCGGACGGGUGAGUAAUGUCUGGGAAACUGCCUGAUGGAGGGGGAUAACUACUGGAAACGGUAGCUAAUACCGCAUAACGUCGCAAGACCAAAGAGGGGGACCUUCGGGCCUCUUGCCAUCAGAUGUGCCCAGAUGGGAUUAACUAGUAGGUGGGGUAACGGCUCACCUAGGCGACGAUCCCUAGCUGGUCUGGAGGGAUGACCAGCCACACUGGAACUGAGACACGGUCCAGACUCCUACGGGAGGCAGCAGUGGGGAAUAUUGCACAAUGGGCGCAAGCCUGAUGCAGCCAUGCCGCGUGUAUGAAGGAGGCCUUCGGGUUGUAAAGUACUUUCAGCGAGGAGGAAGGCGUUGUGGUUAAUAACCGCAGCGAUUGACGUUACUCGCAGAAGAAGCACCGGCUAACUCCGUGCCAGCCGCCGCAGUAA